This 311-nucleotide small RNA is filed under the name Rattus norvegicus (Norway rat). RNAcentral's name for it is "uncharacterized LOC102546532". Lineage: Eukaryota; Metazoa; Chordata; Mammalia; Rodentia; Muridae. The record is from RNAcentral.
CACGCUCCAUGCCUUUGAAUGAUCAUCCAGUGAUCAUUCAUGACUGUUGGCCUGGAAAUGGAGCUGAGAAUUAACUAGUAACGGCUGGAUAGGAUCCAAAGAAGAGGUCAUUUACCAGCUGGAGCCAAGGACUGAUGUGGAGCAUGUGAAGUCGUUGCCUUGCAUGAACUAGGAACUGGUUAGAAGGGCGGACUCUCACGUUGUCCCAUCUUUGGUCGACUGAACCAGAUUCUACAUCUUAAGGCCGCUCCAAGGUGCUUCUAUGCAAAUUAAAGUAUGCGAUCUCACCUCUGUUUUGUGCAGAAGGGCAG